CAGUCGCCGCGGGAAUACGUAGGGUGCGAGCGUUAAUCGGAAUUACUGGGCGUAAAGCGUGCGCAGGCGGUUCGUUAAGACAGAUGUGAAAUCCCCGGGCUUAACCUGGGAACUGCAUUUGUGACUGGCGAGCUAGAGUAUGGCAGAGGGGGGUAGAAUUCCACGUGUAGCAGUGAAAUGCGUAGAGAUGUGGAGGAAUACCGAUGGCGAAGGCAGCCCCCUGGGCCAAUACUGACGCUCAUGCACGAAAGCGUGGGGAGCAAACAGGAUUAGAUACCCCCGUAGUCCCUGUCUCUUAUAC
RNAcentral lists this ribosomal RNA (301 nucleotides) under uncultured bacterium. RNAcentral's name for it is "partial 16S ribosomal RNA". It matches the Rfam family "Bacterial small subunit ribosomal RNA", at positions 509 to 807 of the family's 1533-position model. The record is from RNAcentral.